Non-coding RNA from Callithrix jacchus (white-tufted-ear marmoset), 164 nucleotides. The record is from Rfam. Lineage: Eukaryota; Metazoa; Chordata; Mammalia; Primates; Cebidae.
AUACUUAUCUGGCAGGGGAGAUAAAAUGAUCACGAAGGUGGGUUUCCCAGGGUGAGGCUUAUUCAUUGCACUCUAGAUGUGGUCACCCCUGUGAUUUUCCCAAAUGUGGGAAACUCAACUGCAUAAUUUGUGGUAGUGAAAGACUGUGUUUGCACUUUCCCAUA